This 433-nucleotide ribosomal RNA is filed under the name uncultured bacterium. RNAcentral describes it as "partial 16S ribosomal RNA". It matches the Rfam family "Bacterial small subunit ribosomal RNA", at positions 29 to 507 of the family's 1533-position model. The record is from RNAcentral.
AACGAACGCUGGCGGCAUGCCUAACACAUGCAAGUCGAACGAGACCUUCGGGUCUAGUGGCGCACGGGUGCGUAACGCGUGGGAAGCUGCCCGUAGGUUCGGAAUAACUCCCCGAAAGGUGUGCUAAUACCGGUUAAUGUCUUCGGACCAAAGAUCUCUCGCUGUUGGAUGGGCCCGCGUUGGAUUAGCCAGUUGGUAGGGUAAAAGCCUACCAAUGCGACGAUCCAUAGCUGGUCUGUGAGGAUGAUCAGCCACACUGGGGCUGAGACACGGCCCAGACUGCUACGGGAGGCAGCAGUGGGGAAUAUUGGACAAUGAGCGAAAGCCUGAUCCAGCAAUGCCGCGUGAGUGAUGAAGGCCUUAGGGUUGUAAAGCUCUUUUACCCGGGAUGAUAAUGACAGUACCGGGAGAAUAAGCUCCGGCUAACUCCGUG